This 404-nucleotide ribosomal RNA is filed under the name Verrucomicrobiota bacterium. RNAcentral describes it as "Verrucomicrobia bacterium partial 16S ribosomal RNA". It matches the Rfam family "Bacterial small subunit ribosomal RNA", at positions 355 to 776 of the family's 1533-position model. Lineage: Bacteria; Pseudomonadati; Verrucomicrobiota. The record is from RNAcentral.
UGGGGAAUAUUGGACAAUGGGCGCAAGCCUGAUCCAGCCAUGCCGCGUGAGUGAUGAAGGCCCUAGGGUUGUAAAGCUCUUUCACCGGUGAAGAUAAUGACGGUAACCGGAGAAGAAGCCCCGGCUAACUUCGUGCCAGCAGCCGCGGUAAUACGAAGGGGGCUAGCGUUGUUCGGAUUUACUGGGCGGAAAGCGCACGUAGGCGGACUAUUAAGUCAGGGGUGAAAUCCCGGGGCUCAACCCCGGAACUGCCUUUGAUACUGGUAGUCUUGAGUUCGAGAGAGGUGAGUGGAAUUCCGAGUGUAGAGGUGAAAUUCGUAGAUAUUCGGAGGAACACCAGUGGCGAAGGCGGCUCACUGGCUCGAUACUGACGCUGAGGUGCGAAAGCGUGGGGAGCAAACAGG